AGAGUUGGUCGAGCUAUCGCUUAGCUUUGCUAAGAGGAAAGUCCGGACUUCACAGAGUAAGGUGCCAGUUAACUGCUGGGGAACGUGAGUUUACGGAGAGUGCAACAGAAAAUAGACCGCCAAAUUGGUAAGGGUGAAAAGGUAAGGUAAGAGCUUACCGCUCAAAGUAACAUUUGAGGCAUUGAAAACCCCACCUGAAGCAAUGCCAAGUAGAGAUUANAUUGUGUUACUCGCACAUAAUCAGGGUAGGCAGCUUGAGUACUUUGGUGACAAAGUACCUAGAUAAAUGAUAGCUAAAACAGAAUCCGGCUUAUAGACCAACUCUAUUC
This 329-nucleotide RNase P RNA is filed under the name Gammaproteobacteria bacterium. Its description in RNAcentral is "RNase P RNA component class A". It matches the Rfam family "Bacterial RNase P class A". From Rfam's summary of the family: Ribonuclease P (RNase P) is a ubiquitous endoribonuclease, found in archaea, bacteria and eukarya as well as chloroplasts and mitochondria. Its best characterised activity is the generation of mature 5'-ends of tRNAs by cleaving the 5'-leader elements of precursor-tRNAs. The record is from RNAcentral. Lineage: Bacteria; Pseudomonadati; Pseudomonadota; Gammaproteobacteria.